AGAGUUUGAUCCUGGCUCAGGAUGAACGCUAGCGGCAGGCUUAAUACAUGCAAGUCGUGGGACGGUAGCAAUACUGGACCGGCAAACGGGUGCGUAACACGUACACAACUUUCCGUCAAGUGGGGGAUAGCCUAAAGAAAUUUGGAUUAAUACCCCAUAGAAUAGCGAGGUGGCAUCACCAUGCUAUUAAAGCUCCGGCG
Molecule: ribosomal RNA, 200 nt
Filed under: uncultured bacterium
Lineage: Bacteria
Description: partial 16S ribosomal RNA
Rfam family: Bacterial small subunit ribosomal RNA
Source: RNAcentral